GGGGCAGGGAACAGCUUGGACGCAUCAUUAAAUAACAUCAUAAAACGCUGAGAGUUGCUCACCCAAGUGGGAGCAGAGAGCAGCCAUAAGAAGACACUAAAUGACAUCUACAAAAGGAGGAGAUCCAAGGAAUAGGAGCGAAGCAAUAUGUAUGGAAGAUCAAUAGUAAAAUGGAUUAACUACGUCCUAGUAUGCAGUAGAAGACGCUAAUCCAUGAAAAGAAGCAUUCUUAGCCGGGUCAACACCUGCUAUCCAAACAACUGGUCCGGCUCCAAAACCGGUCCAUUCGUGCCUUCGGGUCAAUUUCCGCUCGGGUCGUCUAAGAUCGUGUCAGCCCCUGCUAUCCAAGCUCAAGGACGAAUAAGUAUUGUUGCUUCCCCUAUAACCGCCGUAUUUGAAGAGGAUAAAUCAUACCGCCUCCAUGUUUUAGUAGGAUAUAU
This 440-nucleotide long non-coding RNA is filed under the name Brassica napus (rape). RNAcentral's name for it is "long non-coding RNA (BNAP_LNC015915)". Lineage: Eukaryota; Viridiplantae; Streptophyta; Magnoliopsida; Brassicales; Brassicaceae. The record is from RNAcentral.